RNAcentral lists this ribosomal RNA (1538 nucleotides) under Escherichia fergusonii. RNAcentral's name for it is "bacterial SSU rRNA". It matches the Rfam family "Bacterial small subunit ribosomal RNA". The record is from RNAcentral. Lineage: Bacteria; Pseudomonadati; Pseudomonadota; Gammaproteobacteria; Enterobacterales; Enterobacteriaceae.
UUGAAGAGUUUGAUCAUGGCUCAGAUUGAACGCUGGCGGCAGGCCUAACACAUGCAAGUCGAACGGUAACAGGAAUCAGCUUGCUGAUUCGCUGACGAGUGGCGGACGGGUGAGUAAUGUCUGGGAAACUGCCUGAUGGAGGGGGAUAACUACUGGAAACGGUAGCUAAUACCGCAUAACGUCGCAAGACCAAAGAGGGGGACCUUCGGGCCUCUUGCCAUCGGAUGUGCCCAGAUGGGAUUAGCUUGUAGGUGGGGUAACGGCUCACCUAGGCGACGAUCCCUAGCUGGUCUGAGAGGAUGACCAGCCACACUGGAACUGAGACACGGUCCAGACUCCUACGGGAGGCAGCAGUGGGGAAUAUUGCACAAUGGGCGCAAGCCUGAUGCAGCCAUGCCGCGUGUAUGAAGAAGGCCUUCGGGUUGUAAAGUACUUUCAGCGGGGAGGAAGGGAGUAAAGUUAAUACCUUUGCUCAUUGACGUUACCCGCAGAAGAAGCACCGGCUAACUCCGUGCCAGCAGCCGCGGUAAUACGGAGGGUGCAAGCGUUAAUCGGAAUUACUGGGCGUAAAGCGCACGCAGGCGGUUUGUUAAGUCAGAUGUGAAAUCCCCGGGCUCAACCUGGGAACUGCAUCUGAUACUGGCAAGCUUGAGUCUCGUAGAGGGGGGUAGAAUUCCAGGUGUAGCGGUGAAAUGCGUAGAGAUCUGGAGGAAUACCGGUGGCGAAGGCGGCCCCCUGGACGAAGACUGACGCUCAGGUGCGAAAGCGUGGGGAGCAAACAGGAUUAGAUACCCUGGUAGUCCACGCCGUAAACGAUGUCGACUUGGAGGUUGUGCCCUUGAGGCGUGGCUUCCGGAGCUAACGCGUUAAGUCGACCGCCUGGGGAGUACGGCCGCAAGGUUAAAACUCAAAUGAAUUGACGGGGGCCCGCACAAGCGGUGGAGCAUGUGGUUUAAUUCGAUGCAACGCGAAGAACCUUACCUGGUCUUGACAUCCACGGAAGUUUUCAGAGAUGAGAAUGUGCCUUCGGGAACCGUGAGACAGGUGCUGCAUGGCUGUCGUCAGCUCGUGUUGUGAAAUGUUGGGUUAAGUCCCGCAACGAGCGCAACCCUUAUCCUUUGUUGCCAGCGGUCCGGCCGGGAACUCAAAGGAGACUGCCAGUGAUAAACUGGAGGAAGGUGGGGAUGACGUCAAGUCAUCAUGGCCCUUACGACCAGGGCUACACACGUGCUACAAUGGCGCAUACAAAGAGAAGCGACCUCGCGAGAGCAAGCGGACCUCAUAAAGUGCGUCGUAGUCCGGAUUGGAGUCUGCAACUCGACUCCAUGAAGUCGGAAUCGCUAGUAAUCGUGGAUCAGAAUGCCACGGUGAAUACGUUCCCGGGCCUUGUACACACCGCCCGUCACACCAUGGGAGUGGGUUGCAAAAGAAGUAGGUAGCUUAACCUUCGGGAGGGCGCUUACCACUUUGUGAUUCAUGACUGGGGUGAAGUCGUAACAAGGUAACCGUAGGGGAACCUGCGGUUGGAUCACCUCCUU